UCCACGACAUUGGGGUGCACGGCUGCAGGGCUGUGCUGAGAACAUACCCAUUGAACCUGCUCUAGCUAGAACUAGCGAAGGGAUUGUCGUGACUCAGCCA
This 100-nucleotide non-coding RNA is filed under the name Corynebacterium marinum. RNAcentral's name for it is "TPP sequence". It matches the Rfam family "TPP riboswitch aptamer (THI element)". Rfam says of the family: Vitamin B(1) in its active form thiamin pyrophosphate (TPP) is an essential coenzyme that is synthesised by coupling of pyrimidine and thiazole moieties in bacteria. The previously detected thiamin-regulatory element, thi box was extended, resulting in a new, highly conserved RNA secondary structure, the THI element, which is widely distributed in eubacteria and also occurs in some archaea. The record is from RNAcentral. Lineage: Bacteria; Bacillati; Actinomycetota; Actinomycetes; Mycobacteriales; Corynebacteriaceae. RNAcentral also lists the same sequence under 1 other name.